Molecule: long non-coding RNA, 5544 nt
Organism: Oreochromis niloticus (Nile tilapia)
Lineage: Eukaryota; Metazoa; Chordata; Actinopteri; Cichliformes; Cichlidae
Exons: 3
Source: RefSeq, a predicted model, not a curated record
GUCAGGUCCUAUCAGUCUGACAGACCUCCUAUUGGACCAGUGCAGGCUUUUUAAAGGUGCAGGCAGAAGCGCGCAGGAGAGUCGCUCUCCUCCACAGACGAGCCGCAGCUCUCCAGCUCUCCAUCCGGCAGAGGAGCAGCGGAGCCGGGCUGACAGUCGCCAGCCCUGACAGUGACGAGGAAGCAGCUCCGAGACUGACCUGAUAUAUCAACAGGUCACUGCAGAGCUCUUUAGCGAGAGGCAAAACGCUUCCUCGUCCACCUGCACACUGUGAGUAACCGUCAGCAUAUCGGCCAUCUGCCGCCUUGUUUCUCCCUACACGUUGCAUUGUGUUGUUUCUCUGAGCUGUUUGGAUUCGGCUACAUGCAUCGCUGUUUAUUUUCUGAGCGUGCGACCUUUUUUUUUUUUUUUUUGCACGCUCCUCCAUGUGUGAAGUCUGUUACGAGUCUGCGUGCAGGUGCAAAACCCGACGUGCCCCUACUGCCUCGUUAGGUGUACGACUUUAAUUGGACUGUGUGAUUUUGUGUUGUUUUUAUGUCUUUUUUUUCACGGUGUGUGUUUUUUGUUUAUUCCUGACUGUGUGUGUGUGUGCGGCGCACUUCUUCAAGCAUGUAUUUCUCAAGUUUGUGUGUGCGCCUGUAUGUAUGUGUGUCUUUAUAAUCCAAGGCCAUUCAAUAGCACCACGUGGAUCCAUCCCAUAUCCCGGUCGCCAUGGUUACCAGGGCCACUUAUCACAGAGGGUCCCGGCAGAUCAAACAGGUGUGCAUCCUGACUAUGUCUCUCCUCGACGACGGUUGCUAGGAACCUUUGUUGCAUGCAACAUACAGGUGCUUGUCACCACUGGCGAAAACCAGCAUGAGCGCAAAAACAUUGUCGUGAUGUCCUGGUCUGAACUGGUGAGUGUGUGUGUGUUUUUGCACUCGAUGUCCUUGUGAGAAACAGUGUGAGGUUCGAUUCUUCUGAGAGUUUUUUGUUUUUUUUGUCUGUCUUCACUUCAUGGAGCUGCUCCUGCAGGACCUGGUGCUUAGGUUAAAGUUUAAAAUCCAUCAAUGAAUGUUUGAGGAAAUUCAGUCUUGCACUUUCAUGAAAAAGGUGAAGAUUAUCCUGACUUCUGUUAGUCAACCCUGUUCCCAUGAUGCCAAUUUACUGAGUUUGAAAGGCAGGAUGUAACAACCCUGAUUGCAUCAUAUUAGUAUUAUUUAUAAAGAGCUAAAGGAAACAUUUGGACACAUUUAAUAAUUCUGGAAAGGAGAAGCAAAAAGCCCAACAAAAGUAUUGUUUGAUGCUGAUUGGUGCACAGAAAUACAUGACAUCACCCUUUUCCAACUAAGCCCUUCCCACUUUAAACAUGCAAUCUUAUUAGAUCAGCCAUCCGUCCAUACAUCCAUCCAUUUUGUGCCUCUUAUUUGGCUCCAGGUCGCAGAGGUAGCAGUGUAAGCAGCAAUGUGAGAGUAAUUUUAAAUAUACUGCUCAUAAAAUAAAUAAAGUCUAAUAAAUAAAUGAUGUAAUGGUCAGUGAAAACUAAAAUCAUCAAUCCGUUGAAGGCUGAGUUCAAGUGUUCCCUUAUUUAAACAUUUUUUGAGCCAUAAAUUAUUCCAAAUAUCGUUGUUAUAAAUGUUGAACUUCGGUUUAGGACUUCAGGACAGAAAUCCCACUUUAGGUGUGAAACCUGACUUCAGUUUGUACACAUCCGUAUUAGAGCUGCAGAUGUGAACACUUCCUCGUGCAGCUUUAAUACAAAUGUGUCUUUAGGGUUGGGGGAUGGAUGACGAGGAGGAAAUGUGAAAGGAAACAGAAUAAUGGGAAAAUGAAACGAAAGGACGCAGAAGAUUUGAGGAAAACUGCCUCAACAAGAAAAGAAUAACUGUGUCACGCUGUGAACUCAGCGAGGGCUUUUUGACUUGGACGCCCUGCCAUGUCCACCUCCCCUUCUCUGCCCCCCCGUGCCGCCAGACUACCACCGCCGCCCUUUCACCCUAAGCCCCGCUGUUUUCCACCUCCACCCUCCUCCACAUACAACACCUGUCCUCCUAUUCAUCCUACUGCCGACGUCUCCAUCCUCCAGCACCUACUUUAGCUUUGCAUCCUCUGGAGGCAUCCUGCUGUCGAUAUUCCCCUUCACGUCUCCUCCGCAAUCUAAUAAACAUGAAAGGCCAAACAUAAGCCCCCCCCAGAAAAAAAAUCCCUUUCUUCCUCUCCACUUAGCAUUAACACACAAGAGUAAAGCUAUUCCUGAUAUUAAAAUCAUCAUCAACUUUGGGUCUCUCACAGUUUGCUUCGCGCUUCGCUUCCUCCGAUAAUAUUCACGAGAUAAUUAGUAUUGACAGGAAGCACAUGGUCUUGUUCAGUCAGCUGUUGAGUCUACAAGUAUCCUCAUAAAUCCAAUUGACAAGUGGCUUGCAGUCUGAGCUGCCCCCCACCUCUUUGUGAGUUUCUGUGUGUGUACACAAUUACUGCAUGCAGACUGGAACUGAACUCACCUCGGGGGCAUUUACACCUGCAGUUGAUUUUGAUUUUGUCUGUUUAUGCCAUCAUUAAGUUUGGUGCCAGGUGAAUGAGGGAGACUUAAGUGAAGCGCGGAACAACACGCAGUCUUUUUUUAAAAGCCAGAUUUCUCUCGGUCUUCUUCUCUUGCGCCGCUUUCCUCCCACGUGCGCUUCACCUUUUCCAUAUGUCGCUCAUUUGAGCUUUAAUCCCCGCAUAGCACCUUUUCUUUCUCUCGCUCUCACUCCCCCGUUUUCUCUCCUCUCCCUUGCACCUCUCUUACACCACUUCCCUCACCUCUCCUCUCCUCAACAAGGCACCCCUCAUCCUCUCCUCCUCCCUGCCUCCUUUCCCUGCGUCUCCCCCGUUCUUUCCAUUUGCGGUCCUUCCACUAACCCAAUAACCUCGGCUCUCAAAGCUCCCCUCGCCUCUCCACCUCACCUUCCCUGCUGCUUUUCCAGCAACAACCAGCCUCCCCUCAAGCCACCUGCAUGCCGCCCCCACGUCUCUGGCUGCUUCUCCCCCUGCGGCGAGCCCCCAUCUCAGGCCGCGGUGUACAGGAUGCUCCCUCGGUGAGAGGUCAGUGGUCUGGCUGUUUUUCUCUGUUCUCCCCCUCAGCGUUUCUCCAGCCAUGACUGCAGAUCACACAGUCUUUCAUUCACUCUUGAAUAGCCUGCCAAAGGGUUACAUAUAUAUUUAUACGUCCAAUAUUCUUUUCACAAAUACAGUUUAGCUAAUAAUAUUUUAGAAAGCUAUUUGAUGCUGUAUUUUAUAGUCAGUGGUAAGUGCCAUCUCCUUGGGGAUGAGGUGAUUUUAUAGCCACCCUGAUGUGAAUUAUUAUAAUUAACUAGAGAAAAGAUCUUACAGUUUAAAUCACAAAUUUUAAAUAUAGCAAAGUAAAGACAAGAACUUAAACCUACAACUUAGCCAACGAAACAAAAAUGAGCUUCUACAUUCUAAUCGUCGUUCGCUGCGAUUGCCAUGAAACAGGAGACGUAGCCUGAACUGAUGCAUUCGCGUUUCUGUCUGUCCUAUAGGGCUGAUUAAUUGUAAACCAAUUUAAACACUGUUUUCCGUUGCAAAGAGAUGAGAAUUACCUGAAGCACAAAAAAAAGAAGAGAGAGACCUAAUUGCUGAACCUGCUAAUUUAACAUUCAUUUGUUUAAAUGUUCUUUGGCAAAAUUUAUCUCUCUAUAUAAAUUAUCUUCAGAAUUGCAAAUCAUAAUGUAUGCUGGUGGACAACGGACGGAGAAAUCUGUUCUGUCACCGAGCGAAUAAUGAAAAUGUGUCAUCUUGGACGAGGACGGCAGACGCACGGCGCUCUUCAGAGAAUUCCAUUUUCUAAUUCUCUGACAGACGCAGAGGGGGAGCUGAGCACAUGUAACUCCCCCUCACAUACACCAAUUACCGCAAUGAGCAAAUGAAAGGCUGUGUCCCAUCAGGGCCGCCGUAGGGGGUAGAGAGAAAGAGAGGGAGAGGGAAUGCAUGGAGGGAGGGGGGAGUAAUACAUAAUUGCCCCCCCCCCCCUGCACAUACACGCACAGACACACAUACAUCACCAACAAUCAUUGUCUGGUGUCUGUGUUGUCGAUAAUCCCACAGUUGUCUGUUACGGCAGAUCGGCCCUCCCCGCUCGCACACGCUCUUCUUGUUUUUUUACAUUUUUUUUUAUAUUUCUGUCUCCAUUUCUUGUCUGCGUUUCUCCAUCAUGCCAUUUUACCCACUCCACAGAUCCCUCCGUCUCCCCACCUCCUCCUCAUCAACUGUCACCAUGCUCAGUGACAUUUUGCCUGCCUUAGUUUUUACAAAAUAGCAGUCAAAAUAUGUAGAGACAGUCUGCAGGGUCAAUCAGUAUUAUCUGAAGCUUCACAACACCCCAAUGAAAGACAGUGAUUGACUGACUGAAGCUUAAUUACUGUUAGUGCCAGUAUCAGGCUUUAAAAAUGCGUUUCAACACUCAUUUUCAAGUACACGUUCCCGCUGCAGAGAGCAGGCAGACUCCUGAGCUGAAGGCAGCGAAAUCAAACUUAAGAUCCGAACCUUUGUGUCUAAUUUGCAGACGCUCUGCAUGAGCCUCUGGUGUGCUAGAACUUAAACCUAACUGUAAAUCUGAGAAGUGUGAAGCCUACCUGACUGCAUGUUCUCACUGUGCUUGGCUGCAGCUCAGUGCCUCAGCAGGCUAAUUGAAGUCAACCACAGGGCACUGCUAAUGAUCAGCCCACAGCGACCCUCGAUCGUCUGUCAUCUUUCUGUCUGCAGCCCUGCGUGGUAUUUAGAGACAUCCUGAAGCUUGGCAGGAAAUGAGAGAAAGGCAAAAAAGCAGGGUAGAAAAUAAAGAGAGAAAAGACAAGGGAGAGGUGGUGUCGGUGGUGUGGACAAAUGACCCAGGUGAUGAAAUGACCAUCACGCUGCGUAGGAAGUAUCCACGUCCGCCUCUGCUCACUUCCGCUCAGUGGCCAAUAUCCCUCCUCCCCCCUCCUGAGCUCCCCGUGGCUCCAAAUUCACUAACACAAAAUCGAUACGAGCAGGUGGAGCAGGAGGUGGGAGGACAGGAACUGUGGAUGAGGUGAGAGGAGCAGGAGGAGGGGUGCAAUGAGAAGAGGAGUGCGAAGAAAAAGGAGAGAAGGUAGAAAAAAUUAAGGCAAAGGAAGAGAAAGAACAAAGAAGGAGAGGAGGAGAUGGAAGGAAAGGAGAUCAGGCAAAGGAAGGGGAAAAGGGGGGAUCAGAGUGAAAGGGCAGAAGAUGAGAGGAAAGACAAGAAUGAAAUCGGAAGAGGAAAUUGAAUUGAAGGAAAAACAGGAGAGAGGAGGAAAUAAAAUUAAACAAAGUAGGUGAACGCAGCACAAAAAGAGAAGAGCAGCAGAUACAGGAAGGUAAGAAUGGACAGUAAAAAGAAAAAGAAGAGAGAAAAUGAAAAAGACAAGUGGUGGGAGAAAGGGAAGGAAAAGUGAAAAUUAGAGAUAAAAGAAAGAAAAAUGAGGGAAGCAGUAGUAGAAAGGGAAGUUAAAAGGAAUGGAAGAGUUAAAGAAACUGAAAAAAGAUGGUGAGCAGGUGUUAUAA